CUCCUACGGGAGGCAGCAGUGAGGAAUAUUGGUCAAUGGGCGAGAGCCUGAACCAGCCAAGUAGCGUGAAGGAUGACUGCCCUAUGGGUUGUAAACUUCUUUUAUAAAGGAAUAAAGUCGGGUAUGGAUACCCGUUUGCAUGUACUUUAUGAAUAAGGAUCGGCUAACUCCGUGCCAGCAGCCGCGGUAAUACGGAGGAUCCGAGCGUUAUCCGGAUUUAUUGGGUUUAAAGGGAGCGUAGAUGGAUAUUUAAGUCAGUUGUGAAAGUUUGCGGCUCAACCGUAAAAUUGCAGUUGAUACUGGAUAUCUUGAGUGCAGUUGAGGCAGGCGGAAUUCGUGGUGUAGCGGUGAAAUGCUUAGAUAUCACGAAGAACUCCGAUUGCGAAGGCAGCUCACUGGAGCGCAACUGACGCUGAAGCUCGAAAGUGCGGGUAUCGAACAGGAUUAGAUACCCUGGUAGUCCGCACGGUAAACGAUGGAUGCCCGCUGUUGGUCUGAAUAGGUCAGCGGCCAAGCGAAAGCAUUAAGCAUCCCACCUGGGGAGUACGCCGGCAACGGUGAAACUCAAAGGAAUUGACGGGGGCCCGCACAAGCGGAGGAACAUGUGGUUUAAUUCGAUGAUACGCGAGGAACCUUACCCGGGCUUGAAUUGCAGAGGAAGGAUUUGGAGACAAUGACGCCCUUCGGGGCCUCUGUGAAGGUGCUGCAUGGUUGUCGUCAGCUCGUGCCGUGAGGUGUCGGCUUAAGUGCCAUAACGAGCGCAACCCCUCUCCUUAGUUGCCAUCAGGUUAAGCUGGGCACUCUGGGGACACUGCCACCGUAAGGUGUGAGGAAGGUGGGGAUGACGUCAAAUCAGCACGGCCCUUACGUCCGGGGCUACACACGUGUUACAAUGGCAGGUACAGAGAGACGGUCCCUUGCAAAAUGGAUCAAAUCCUUAAAGCCUGUCUCAGUUCGGACUGGGGUCUGCAACCCGACCCCACGAAGCUGGAUUCGCUAGUAAUCGCGCAUCAGCCAUGGCGCGGUGAAUACGUUCCCGGGCCUUGUACACACCGC
This 1056-nucleotide ribosomal RNA is filed under the name uncultured bacterium. Its description in RNAcentral is "bacterial SSU rRNA". It matches the Rfam family "Bacterial small subunit ribosomal RNA", at positions 336 to 1393 of the family's 1533-position model. The record is from RNAcentral.